This 253-nucleotide ribosomal RNA is filed under the name uncultured bacterium. RNAcentral describes it as "partial 16S ribosomal RNA". It matches the Rfam family "Bacterial small subunit ribosomal RNA", at positions 524 to 776 of the family's 1533-position model. The record is from RNAcentral.
UACGUAGGUGGCAAGCGAUACUCGGAAUCACUAGGCGUAAAGCGCAGGUAGGAGGUUUGGAAAGUCUCUUGUGAAAGCUCCCGGCUCAACUGGGAGAGGUCAAGGGAAACUACCAGGCUGGAGUGCGGUAGAGGUAGCUGGAAUUCCCGGUGUAGCGGUGAAAUGCGUAGAUAUCGGGAGGAAUACCUAUGGCGAAAGCAGGCUACUGGACCGUCACUGACUCUGAUAUGCGAAAGCUAGGGGAGCAAACAGG